CGCGGCCUAUCAGCUUGUUGGUGAGGUAAUGGCCUACCAAGGCGACGACGGGUAGCCGGCCUGAGAGGGCGACCGGCUACACUGGGACUGAGACACGGCCCAGACUCCUACGGGAGGCAGCAGUGGGGAAUAUUGCGCAAUGGGCGAAAGCCUGACGCAGCGACGCCGCGUGAGGGACGACGGCCUUCGGGUUGUAAGCCUCUUUCAGCAGGGACGAAGCGAAAGUGACGGUACCUGCAGAAGAAGCACCGGCCAACUACGUGCCAGCAGCCGCGGUAAUACGUAGGGUGCAAGCGUUGUCCGGAAUUAUUGGGCGUAAAGAGCUCGUAGGCGGUCUGUCACGUCGGAUGUGAAAACUCGGGGCUCAACCCCGAGCCUGCAUUCGAUACGGGCAGACUUGAGUUCGGCAGGGGAGACUGGAAUUCCUGGUGUAGCGGUGAAAUGCGCAGAUAUCAGGAGGAACACCGGUGGCGAAGGCAGGUCUCUGGGCCGAUACUGACGCUGAGGAGCGAAAGCGUGGGGAGCGAACAGGAUUAGAUACCCUGGUAGUCCACGCCGUAAACGGUGGGUGCUAGGUGUGGGGAACUUUCCACGUUCUCCGUGCCGCAGCUAACGCAUUAAGCACCCCGCCUGGGGAGUACGG
This 643-nucleotide ribosomal RNA is filed under the name uncultured Actinomycetes bacterium. Its description in RNAcentral is "bacterial SSU rRNA". It matches the Rfam family "Bacterial small subunit ribosomal RNA", at positions 232 to 885 of the family's 1533-position model. Lineage: Bacteria; Bacillati; Actinomycetota; Actinomycetes. The record is from RNAcentral.